Molecule: unclassified non-coding RNA, 238 nt
Filed under: air metagenome
Description: partial contains small subunit ribosomal RNA, internal transcribed spacer 1, and 5.8S ribosomal RNA
Rfam family: Eukaryotic small subunit ribosomal RNA (bases 1-46)
Source: RNAcentral
AAGUCGUAACAAGGUUUCCGUAGGUGAACCUGCGGAAGGAUCAUUACCAAAACUUUAGGUUUAUUCCCCCUUCACAGGGGGUUGAGCCCUACCCUUUGUCUACAUGUACCUCUUGUUGUUUCCUCGGGGGGCUUUAUGCUCCCCGGUAGGAACCCCUUAAACCCUUUAUAUAAUAGUAUUAAAUCUCUGAUAACUACCUAAAUAAUCACAACUUUCAACAAUGGAUCUCUUGGUUCUG